Molecule: ribosomal RNA, 269 nt
Filed under: uncultured bacterium
Lineage: Bacteria
Description: partial 16S ribosomal RNA
Rfam family: Bacterial small subunit ribosomal RNA
Source: RNAcentral
UUCGGAAUGAAACCAGAUAUGACUUAGUGGCGGACGGGUGAGUAACACGUGAGCAACCUGCCUUUCAGAGGGGGAUAACGGCUGGAAACGGUCGCUAAUACCGCAUGACGUGUUCGGAUGGCAUCAUCUGAACAUCAAAGAUUUAUCGCUGAAAGAUGGGCUCGCGUCUGAUUAGAUAGUUGGUGGGGUAACGGCCUACCAAGUCUACGAUCAGUAGCCGGACUGAGAGGUUAACCCCCACACUGGUACUGAGACACGGACCAGACUCC